GGGCGAUUAGCUCAGUUUGGUUAGAGCGCCACGUUGACAUCGUGGAGGUCGAUGGUUCGAGCCCAUUAUCGCCCACCA
Molecule: transfer RNA, 78 nt
Filed under: Candidatus Hydrogenedentota bacterium
Lineage: Bacteria; Pseudomonadati; Candidatus Hydrogenedentota
Description: tRNA-Val
Rfam family: tRNA
About the family: Transfer RNA (tRNA) molecules are approximately 80 nucleotides in length. Their secondary structure includes four short double-helical elements and three loops (D, anti-codon, and T loops).
Source: RNAcentral